ACAACAACAACUCCCAUCAACAACAAUACUACCCAUCAACAACAACAACACCCAUCAACAACAACAACUCCCAUCAACAACAAUACUACCCAUCAACAACAACAACACCCAUCAACAACAACAACUCCCAUCAACAACAAUACUACCCAUCAACAACAACAAUACCCAUCAACAACAAUACUACCCAUCAACAACAACAAUACCCAUCAACAAUAAU
Pelobates cultripes (western spadefoot toad) is the source of this 217-nucleotide non-coding RNA. Lineage: Eukaryota; Metazoa; Chordata; Amphibia; Anura; Pelobatidae. The record is from the annotation of a GenBank genome assembly.